RNAcentral lists this unclassified non-coding RNA (214 nucleotides) under Hevea brasiliensis (rubber tree). Lineage: Eukaryota; Viridiplantae; Streptophyta; Magnoliopsida; Malpighiales; Euphorbiaceae. The record is from RNAcentral.
GACGGCGGGGCUGAAGCUGGAGGCACGUGACUCCGGGCUGCAGACCGGUGAUCCGGCGGGGUUCACCCUGGCUGAUACGCUUGCAUGCGGGACUGUAGGGCAUAUCAUAGGGGUUGGGGUUGUGUUGGGACUGAAGAGCUUGGGUUCCAUUUGAAGCUCUAUGGUUGGGUGAGGUUGAGGUCCACUUGUUGUGAAGGUUGUACAUGGUUUCUUU